UCAUGUGAUAUGUAACAAAAAAUAUUUUUUUAAACGUAACAAUACAAGUAAUACGUGCUUUUAUAUCGUAAUAAUACAAAACUUUCGAACCAGUAUGUUAAGCAUUGUGAGGAAUUUCGAAGUUUAAUUCACUCUUUUCUAUUGAAAAUAUAUAAUUUAUCUUACGAAGAUGCUACCAAAAGAAUACAAAGGAGCAUAACUCGGUAGUAUAAGUGCUGACCAUGAAGAAAAUACUUAUUAUAUGUGAUUCACAUCACGUUCUCACAUGAAAAGAAAUUUUUUAUCCGUUAAAUCCGAAGUCCAUUAAAUCAAGAAUCUAUUGUAUUUUUAAGAAAAAACAUACAAGUUUAAAAUCGAAUUCGAAAACGAACAUCAUCUUCUGAAAACUUCUAAAAAUAUGAAUUAUUCGUAUAAAAAUAAAUGAAGAUAACUGAAAGAAGAAAAUGUAAGGAAAAAUUGCCAAGAAAGGGAGUGAUAUACAAGUGUAUUUGAUGAUCCGAUCAAUGACAAAUAGUAAAACUAUGCCAUUGAUAAACGAGAAAUUCAACAAUGAAAGAGAAAAGCAACAUUAAAAAAAAGAAAGCAAGAAAUUGCAUCAAAGACAUAAAAUAGAUAUUCCUUCAAUCGUAGAUUAAAUAAGAUGUUCUAUUUAAUCUCUCAAUAAAUAAAUAAAGAAAGAUCCAAUAUCAAAUAGAGUGUAAACAUAUAUAAG
Molecule: long non-coding RNA, 712 nt
Organism: Centruroides sculpturatus (bark scorpion)
Lineage: Eukaryota; Metazoa; Arthropoda; Arachnida; Scorpiones; Buthidae
Exons: 4
Source: RefSeq, a predicted model, not a curated record